Molecule: ribosomal RNA, 497 nt
Filed under: uncultured bacterium
Lineage: Bacteria
Description: partial 16S ribosomal RNA
Rfam family: Bacterial small subunit ribosomal RNA
Source: RNAcentral
GAUGAACGCUGGCGGCGUGCCUAAUACAUGCAAGUCGAGCGAACGGACGAGGAGCUUGCUUCUCUGACGUUAGCGGCGGACGGGUGAGUAACACGUGGAUAACCUACCUAUAAGACUGGGAUAACUUCGGGAAACCGGAGCUAAUACCGGAUAAUAUAUUGAACCGCAUGGUUCAAUAGUGAAAGACGGUCUUGCUGUCACUUAUAGAUGGAUCCGCGCUGCAUUAGCUAGUUGGUAAGGUAACGGCUUACCAAGGCAACGAUGCGUAGCCGACCUGAGAGGGUGAUCGGCCACACUGGAACUGAGACACGGUCCAGACUCCUACGGGAGGCAGCAGUAGGGAAUCUUCCGCAAUGGGCGAAAGCCUGACGGAGCAACGCCGCGUGAGUGAUGAAGGUCUUCGGAUCGUAAAACUCUGUUAUUAGGGAAGAACAUAUGUAUAAGUAACUGUGCACGUCUUGACGGUACCUAAUCAGAAAGCCACGGCUAACUACGUG